Molecule: long non-coding RNA, 2868 nt
Organism: Phyllostomus hastatus (greater spear-nosed bat)
Lineage: Eukaryota; Metazoa; Chordata; Mammalia; Chiroptera; Phyllostomidae
Exons: 4
Source: RefSeq, a predicted model, not a curated record
GCGCACCAACUCUGUAGCCCAACGCGUGGCGCCCCCACCCCCGCCGCGGGCUACGCCACUCCCUCCCGACACACGCGACACCCUGCGUUCACAGGCACAAGCACGCAGGUCCGGCCGCCGUGGCCGCGGCCGGGCCGAGUAAACACCCAGCUGGAAACGCUGGCAGCGGAGCCGCUCCGUAGCAAGCCGGCCCGAGGAAGAAAGAGGGGCGGCCCGCGCCCGGGCUGUGUUGCCUCUGGGACACCCAGCCCUUUGGGUGCCCUCGAGAGCAGCACUCGACCUUGAGAAGGAAGACGUGAGGAUUGUUCUCCCAGUGGCCUCUGGGUGAAUACUGGAAAUGCCUAAAGACGCUGGACGAGAGUGGGGUAGCUUCCACCCUACAAGCUCUGUUCCUUCAGGAUCAUGGACAAGAUGGCAUUUGGUCUGGGCCUCGGCAUCGUGUUCCUGAGAUGGGUCCCCGUUGCUGCUUGUGAUAAAUGCAGGACUUCCGGCUCUUGCUUGGCAUCCCGCUGUGUGCACGCGUCACCGUCACCGUGGCGGAGGCUGCUGGCUGUUCCCCGAAAGCGGUUUCUUCCUCUUCCAGGCCACACUUGGGCACUACAUCUCCCAAGGUCCCUUGCAGUGCCACACGCAAGUCCCCCGAGCUCCUCGAAGAAAUGCUGCGACCAACAUCCUCACACGUGUGUCCGCUUCCAUCUGUGAACAAGGUUAUUUUUAGGUGGUCUGCCAGAAAUGGAAUUGUGGGGCCAUAGGGUUUGUACGUAUUCUGUUUUCCUGGCCAAAGCAAUGGCAGAGGCGUGUGGCUUUGACAGGGGCGGCAGGGGUUGGGGUAUUCAGUUCCCAGGAGCCAACAUUGCCGGAUGCAGUGUCUGUGCUCAGAGGAGUCACCGCUGCAUCCGUCCCACAGAGCGGUCUGGGCAUUGUUCCAUGGUCCUGGCCUCUAAGGCCGGCUUCCUGGGUACCCUGGACAUUCUGUGAGCCCCCACGGCCAUUCAUGAAAUUACCAGAGCGGGCUCUGUGGUUUACAGCUGCAAAUUCCCGAUCUCUGCGGGAUUAGGGGUUGGCGACCUUCUUCUGCGAAGGACUGGACAGUAAAUAUUUUAGAGUUCAAGGGUCCUACAGUCUGUGUCCCAACUAUUCAAUUCUGUUGUAUCACUAGCAGCAAAGACAAUAUGUAAACGAAUGGGUGUGGCUGCCUGCCAAUAUAAGUUUAUAUAUAGCAACAACAGCCUGCAGAUCACAAUUUGCCAAUCCCUGAGCUAGACAAAAAGGGAUCUCUCCUUUCUCUAAAUCUCUUUGUAGACAGUUACAUCAGAGUUCUUGGCCUUAGCUCCUUGGUCAGCUGCUUUUCUCAACCCAUUUUGGGGUCGGUCCCGUAAAGAACCUAACACAUUACCUCACCUGCAGUGGACUGACCCAAUGAAUAAAUGAGUGAGUGAAGGAGUGGAUGAAUGAAUGAGCGAACGAACGAAUGAAUGAAUGAAUAUACUGAUGAAUGCUUUAAUUUAGAGAUGGUGAUCCCAUUGAAUAACCCGAGCAAAGACCAGUCAGAAUGGGAGCCAGCACUACACACCCCAUGCAGCUGAACUGUGCCCCGGGGAGUCUAGUCCUGCCGCGUGGAGCCCUGGAGGGCCGAGUGCUUGCAGUUUCUCUGAGCCCCCAGAGCCCAGCCUGUGCUUUUUACAGGAAAGUGCUUCUCUGUCCAGGCUCUGCGCAGUUAAUGUUUCAGAAAGCCCCAGGUCGGGCCCCAGGCAUGGGUAGGUCCCUAGCUUUUCACACUUUCACCCGAUGCUGAACCCAUCCCGGGCUGAGGAGGAACUGAGAGAGUGACCUCCCAGCCCCUGAUGGGGUGGGAACAGAUACUUAGGGGACUCCCAGAGGCGUUGUAGAAACUCCUGCCUCACCUUUAAAGGUCAAGCUGGCCUUCUCAGGCCUGCCUGCUCGCCUCUCUGGUUUUCCGGCCUCAGAGGGAGAUGCGUGGGCAGGGGGGUGGGGUGGAAGUGUGGAGGCUGCCCACCCCGGCAGAUGGUAGGGUCAAGUGACCAUCUCGCUCCUCUCUGGCCCCCCUGGGGAGCUCAAGAGUCCCAAGGUGGGUUUAGGUGAGAGUGUGUUUGCAGAGGAAAUCUUUGGCUGGAGGGCAACUGGGCCAUUCACAUUGUUUUCUGUCUCCAGCAACACAAUAGAAGUUUUGCUGAGGCUCAGGGAGCGUCUACAAAGUGCUCUCCUCCAAGAGCAAGGCGCUGGAACCCGGCUUUUGGUGGCUUUUUAUCUUUGGAUCCCGGCAAAGGUACGGAGCAGCCAGGCAAGACCCAGGAGGUCCCAGACAGGAGUAGCAGCCUCUGGCUGUUCAGGCUGCUUGCUAAGGGAGUGGUCCUGCUCGAUGAACAAAAGGCCAGGCUGCAGGAGGACAGGGGUUGUGCGGGGGAGGAGUCACCUCCAUCCUUAACGUUGGCAGGCAGGCCACUGGGAGCUGGUGACUUACUUGGCUUCCAGCCAGAGCCCUGUUGAAACUCCUGCUGGAGCAGGGAAGCCACAGACAGGAUACUGUUCACACCACCAGGGGUAAGAUUGCCGAAUCACAUGUUUAACUUCUGUAAGAAAUUGCCGAUAGUUUUCCAAUGUGAUUGUGCCAUUUUGUAUUUCCACCAGCACUGUAUGAGGGUCCCAGCUGCUUACUAUUAAUAAUUUUCAUUGCACCAGUAAUACAUGGGUUCACAAGUAUUCUCCUGUAAAGCUCAAGAAAGUGCCUUUGCACAACCACCCAGCACCCACCACUCCCCCAAGAUAACGCUGUCAGCAGUUGGGGCAGCUUCCUUGCAGACCUCUUCCUGUGCAUUUAUAUCCAUAAAUAAAUACGCACUGAAAACA